Molecule: long non-coding RNA, 228 nt
Filed under: Olea europaea (common olive)
Lineage: Eukaryota; Viridiplantae; Streptophyta; Magnoliopsida; Lamiales; Oleaceae
Description: long non-coding RNA (OEUR_LNC013490)
Source: RNAcentral
UUGGCCUUUGACCCAUUAAAUGAAUUAAAAAAAAAAGAAAUUAAGUUUAAAAAAACUUUACACUAAAAGGGCGAAUUUACCCUUCAGCUAGUGACUAUUUAAAUCUCAUUUUCUAACCGACUGACCAAAAAAGAAAAUCGACGCACAGUCGCCUGAAAAUUGUCCGAUCAACCACCGGCCAACUACACCACCGUCGUAGUGAGCUAAAUCGACGACCACGCAUCUACA